AUUGAACGCUGGCGGCAUGCCUUACACAUGCAAGUCGAACGGCAGCACGGACUUCGGUCUGGUGGCGAGUGGCGAACGGGUGAGUAAUGUAUCGGAACGUACCUUUCAGUGGGGGAUAACGUAGCGAAAGUUACGCUAAUACCGCAUAUUCUGUGAGCAGGAAAGCAGGGGAUCGAAAGACCUUGCGCUGAUUGAGCGGCCGAUAUCAGAUUAGCUAGUUGGUGGGGUAAAGGCCUACCAAGGCGACGAUCUGUAGCGGGUCUGAGAGGAUGAUCCGCCACACUGGAACUGAGACACGGUCCAGACUCCUACGGGAGGCAGCAGUGGGGAAUUUUGGACAAUGGGGGCAACCCUGAUCCAGCCAUGCCGCGUGAGUGAAGAAGGCCUUCGGGUUGUAAAGCUCUUUCGGCCGGGAAGAAAUCGCAUAGGCUAAUACCCUGUGUGGAUGACGGUACCGGAGUAAGAAGCACCGGCUAACUACGUG
RNAcentral lists this ribosomal RNA (484 nucleotides) under uncultured bacterium. Its description in RNAcentral is "partial 16S ribosomal RNA". It matches the Rfam family "Bacterial small subunit ribosomal RNA", at positions 30 to 507 of the family's 1533-position model. The record is from RNAcentral.